GACGCUGGCGGUGUGCUUCACACAUGCAAGUCGAACGAGGUAGCAAUACCUAGUGGCGGACGGGUGAGUAACGCGUGGGAAUCUGCCUUUAGAUGGGGGAUAACGGGUCGAAAGACUCGCUAAUACCGCAUAUGACGAAAGUUGAAAGGAGUAAUCCGUCUAAAGAUGAGCCCGCGUCCGAUUAGCUAGUUGGUAGAGUAAAAGCCUACCAAGGCGACGAUCGGUAGCUGGUCUGAGAGGAUGAUCAGCCACAAUGGGACUGAGACACGGCCCAUACUCCUACGGGAGGCAGCAGUGGGGAAUUUUACGCAAUGGGCGAAAGCCUGACGUAGCGACACCGCGUGAGCGAAGAAGCCCCUUGGGGUGUAAAGCUCUGUCAGCUGGAACGAAAAAAAUGACGGUACCAGCAGAGGAAGCAUCGGCUAACUACGUG
RNAcentral lists this ribosomal RNA (433 nucleotides) under uncultured bacterium. RNAcentral describes it as "bacterial SSU rRNA". It matches the Rfam family "Bacterial small subunit ribosomal RNA", at positions 33 to 507 of the family's 1533-position model. The record is from RNAcentral.